AAGUCGAACGGCAGCGGGGGAGAGCUUGCUCUCCUGCCGGCGAGUGGCGGACGGGUGAGUAAUGUCUGGGGAUCUGCCCGAUGGAGGGGGAUAACCACUGGAAACGGUGGCUAAUACCGCAUGAAGUCGCAAGACCAAAGUGGGGGACCUUCGGGCCUCACGCCAUAGGAUGAACCCAGAUGGGAUUAGCUGGUAGGUGGGGUAAAGGCCCACCUAGGCGACGAUCCCUAGCUGGUCUGAGAGGAUGACCAGCCACACUGGAACUGAGACACGGUCCAGACUCCUACGGGAGGCAGCAGUGGGGAAUAUUGCACAAUGGGGGGAACCCUGAUGCAGCCAUGCCGCGUGUAUGAAGAAGGCCUUAGGGUUGUAAAGUACUUUCAGUCAGGAGGAAGGGUGAGCAGUGAAUAGCUGUUUGCAUUGACGUUACUGACAGAAGAAGCACCGGCUAACUCCGUGCCAGCAGCCGCGGUAAUACGGAGGGUGCAAGCGUUAAUCGGAAUUACUGGGCGUAAAGCGCACGCAGGCGGUCUGUUAAGUCAGAUGUGAAAUCCCCGGGCUUAACCCGGGAACUGCAUUUGAAACUGGCAGGCUGGAGUCUCGUAGAGGGGGGUAGAAUUCCAGGUGUAGCGGUGAAAUGCGUAGAGAUCUGGAGGAAUACCGGUGGCGAAGGCGG
This 676-nucleotide ribosomal RNA is filed under the name Enterobacteriaceae bacterium N8PI2. RNAcentral describes it as "bacterial SSU rRNA". It matches the Rfam family "Bacterial small subunit ribosomal RNA", at positions 59 to 724 of the family's 1533-position model. Lineage: Bacteria; Pseudomonadati; Pseudomonadota; Gammaproteobacteria; Enterobacterales; Enterobacteriaceae. The record is from RNAcentral.